GACGAACGCUGGCGGCGUGCUUAACACAUGCAAGUCGAACGGAAAGGCCCUGCUUUUGUGGGGUGCUCGAGUGGCGAACGGGUGAGUAACACGUGAGUAACCUGCCCUUGACUUUGGGAUAACUUCAGGAAACUGGGGCUAAUAUCGGAUAGGAGCUCCUGCUGCAUGGUGGGGGUUGGAAAGUUUCGGCGGUUGGGGAUGGACUCGCGGCUUAUCAGCUUGUUGGUGGGGUAGUGGCUUACCAAGGCUUUGACGGGUAGCCGGCCUGAGAGGGUGACCGGCCACAUUGGGACUGAGAUACGGCCCAGACUCCUACGGGAGGCAGCAGUGGGGAAUAUUGCACAAUGGGCGGAAGCCUGAUGCAGCAACGCCGCGUGCGGGAUGACGGCCUUCGGGUUGUAAACCGCUUUCGCCUGUGACGAAGCGUGAGUGACGGUGAUGGGUAAAGAAGCACCGGCUAACUACGUG
Molecule: ribosomal RNA, 468 nt
Filed under: uncultured bacterium
Lineage: Bacteria
Description: partial 16S ribosomal RNA
Rfam family: Bacterial small subunit ribosomal RNA
Source: RNAcentral